This 1738-nucleotide ribosomal RNA is filed under the name Ascovaginospora stellipala. Its description in RNAcentral is "SSU rRNA". It matches the Rfam family "Eukaryotic small subunit ribosomal RNA". The record is from RNAcentral. Lineage: Eukaryota; Fungi; Ascomycota; Sordariomycetes; Sordariales; Lasiosphaeriaceae.
UUUCUCAAACGAUUAAGCCAUGCAUGUCUAAGUAUAAGCAAUUAUACAGCGAAACUGCGAAUGGCUCAUUAAAUCAGUUAUCGUUUAUUUGAUAGCACCUUACUACAUGGAUAACCGUGGUAAUUCUAGAGCUAAUACAUGCUAAAAACCCCGACUCACGAAGGGGUGUAUUUAUUAGAUUAAAAACCAAUGCCCUCCGGGGCUCACUGGUGAUUCAUGAUAACUUCUCGGAUCGCACGGCCUUGUGCCGGCGAUGGUUCAUUCAAAUUUCUGCCCUAUCAACUUUCGAUGGUUGGGUAUUGGCCCACCAUGGUGACAACGGGUAACGGAGGGUUAGGGCUCGACCCCGGAGAAUCCGCCUGAGAGACGGCGAAUACAUCCAAGGAAGGCAGCAGGCGCGCAAAUUACCCAAUGCCGACUCGGCGAGGUAGUGACGAGAAAUACUGAUACAGGGCUCUUUUGGGUCCUGUAAUUGGAAUGAGUACAAUUUAAUCCCUUAACGAGGAACAAUUGGAUGGGCAAGUCUGGUGCCAGCAGCCGGCGGUAAUUCAGCUCCAAUAGCGUAUAUUAAAGUUGUUGAAGUUAAAAAGCUCGUAGUUGAACCUUGGGCCUGGCUGGCCGGUCCGCCUCACCGCGUGCACUGGUCCGGCCGGGUCUUUCCCUCUGGGGAUCCGCAUGCCCUUCACUGGGUGUGCCGGGGAACCAGGACUUUUACUCUGAACAAAUUAGAUCGCUUCAAGAAGGCCUAUGCUCGAAUAGUCUAGCAUGGAAUAAUGGAAUAGGACGUGUGGUUCUAUUUUGUUGGUUUCUAGGACCGCCGUAAUGAUUAAUAGGGACAGUCGGGGGCGUCAGUAUUCAGUUGUCAGAGGUGAAAUUCUUGGAUUUACUGAAGACUAACUACUGCGAAAGCAUUCGCCAAGGAUGUUUUCAUUAAUCAGGAACGAAAGUUAGGGGAUCGAAGACGAUCAGAUACCGUCGUAGUCUUAACCAUAAACUAUGCCGAUUAGGGAUCGGACGGUGUUAUUUUUUGACCCGUUCGGCACCUUACGAUAAAUCAAAAUGUUUGGGCUCUUGGGGGAGUAUGGUUGCAAAGCUGAACUUAAAGGAAUUGACGGAAGGGCACCCACCAGGGUGGACUGCGGCUUAAUUUGACUCAACACGGGGAAACUCACCAGGUCCAGACACAAGUAGGAUUGACAGAUUGAGAGCUCUUUCUUGAUUUUGUGGGUGGUGGUGCAUGGCCGUUCUUAGUUGGUGGGAUGACUUGUCUGCUUAAUUGCGAUAACGAACGAGACCUUAAUCUGCUAAAUAGCCCGUAUUGCUUUGGCAGUACGCUGGCUUCUUAGAGAGACUUUCGGCUCAAGCCGACGGAAGUUUGAGGCAAUAACAGGUCUGUGAUGCCCUUAGAUGUUCUGGGCCGCACGCGCGCUACACUGACAGAGCCAGCGAGUACUCCCUUGGCCGGAAGGCCCGGGUAAUCUUGUUAAACUCUGUCGUGCUGGGGAUAGAGCAUUGCAAUUAUUGCUCUUCAACGAGGAAUCCCUAGUAAGCGCAAGUCAUCAGCUUGCGUUGAUUACGUCCCUGCCCUUUGUACACACCGCCCGUCGCUACUACCGAUUGAAUGGCUCAGUGAGGCUCUCGGACUGACCCAGGGAGGUUGGUGACGACCACCCAGGGACGGAAAGUUAUCCAAACUCGGUCAUUUAGAGGAAGUAAAAGUCGUAACAAGGUCUCCGUA